CAGAAUAGAGUUUGUAUAAAAUAUUCCCUUUACAUAGGAAGGAACCAUUUAAAUUAGGUGUUCUGA
RNAcentral lists this transfer RNA (66 nucleotides) under Antrokoreana gracilipes. RNAcentral's name for it is "tRNA-Val". Lineage: Eukaryota; Metazoa; Arthropoda; Diplopoda; Julida; Nemasomatidae. The record is from RNAcentral.